UCCCUUCGGGGCAUUGGAGACAGGUGGUGCAUGGUUGUCGUCAGCUCGUGUCGUGAGAUGUUGGGUUAAGUCCCGCAACGAGCGCAACCCCUAUUUCCAGUAGCCAGCAAGAAAGAUGGGAACUCUGGAGAGACUGCCCGGGAUAACUGGGAGGAAGGCGGGGAUGACGUCAAAUCAUCAUGCCCCUUAUGAUCAGGGCUACACACGUGCUACAAUGGCGUAAACAAAGGGAAGCGAAGUGGUGACACGAAGCAAAUCCGAAAAACAACGUCUCAGUUCGGAUUGUAGUCUGCAACUCGACUACAUGAAGCUGGAAUCGCUAGUAAUCGCGAAUCAGAAUGUCGCGGUGAAUACGUUCCCGGGUCUUGUACACACCGCCCGUCACACCAUGGGAGUCGGAAAUGCCCGAAGUCAGUGACCCAACCGAGAGGAGGGAGCUGCCGAAGGUGGAGCCGGUAACUGGGGUGAAGUCGUAACAAGGUAGCCGUAUCGGAAGGUGCGGCUGGAU
RNAcentral lists this ribosomal RNA (508 nucleotides) under uncultured bacterium. Its description in RNAcentral is "bacterial SSU rRNA". It matches the Rfam family "Bacterial small subunit ribosomal RNA", at positions 1014 to 1523 of the family's 1533-position model. The record is from RNAcentral.